This is a transfer RNA of Operophtera brumata (winter moth), 73 nucleotides long. It matches the Rfam family "tRNA". Rfam says of the family: Transfer RNA (tRNA) molecules are approximately 80 nucleotides in length. The record is from Rfam. Lineage: Eukaryota; Metazoa; Arthropoda; Insecta; Lepidoptera; Geometridae.
CGUUCUAUGGCCGAAUUGGUAAAGGCAUCGCCGAUCACAGGCGUGGUUGCGGGUUCGAGUCCCGCUGGAACGG